RNAcentral lists this ribosomal RNA (497 nucleotides) under uncultured bacterium. RNAcentral's name for it is "partial 16S ribosomal RNA". It matches the Rfam family "Bacterial small subunit ribosomal RNA", at positions 28 to 507 of the family's 1533-position model. The record is from RNAcentral.
GAUGAACGCCGGCGGCGUGCCUAAUACAUGCAAGUCGAGCGAACGGACGAGAAGCUUGCUUUUCUGAUGUUAGCGGCGGACGGGUGAGUAACACGUGGAUAACCUACCUAUAAGACUGGGAUAACUUCGGGAAACCGGAGCUAAUACCGGAUAAUAUUUUGAACCGCAUGGUUCAAAAGUGAAAGACGGUCUUGCUGUCACUUAUAGAUGGAUCCGCGCUGCAUUAGCUAGUUGGUAAGGUAACGGCUUACCAAGGCAACGAUGCAUAGCCGACCUGAGAGGAUGAUCGGCCACACUGGAACUGAGACACGGUCCAGACUCCUACGGGAGGCAGCAGUAGGGAAUCUUCCGCAAUGGGCGAAAGCCUGACGGAGCAACGCCGCGUGAGUGAUGAAGGUCUUCGGAUCGUAAAACUCUGUUAUUAGGGAAGAACAUAUGUGUAAGUAACUGUGCACAUCUUGACGGUACCUAAUCAGAAAGCCACGGCUAACUACGUG